AGGAUUAAAAGAUAAAUAGAAUACAAUAGAAAUUCAGUAUCUGGCAUCAUUAGUUUUCUUGGCUUUGUGCAUGUUAAACCUGGUAUUUCUAUUGAUACAGUA
Molecule: small nucleolar RNA, 102 nt
Organism: Lepus europaeus (European hare)
Lineage: Eukaryota; Metazoa; Chordata; Mammalia; Lagomorpha; Leporidae
Product: small nucleolar RNA SNORA8
Exons: 1
Source: RefSeq, a predicted model, not a curated record